UACGUAGGGUGCGAGCGUUGUCCGGAAUUAUUGAGCGUAAAGGGCUCGUAGGCGGUCUGUUGCGUCGGGAGUGAAAACUCAGGGCUUAACCCUGAGCCUGCUUCCGAUACGGGCAGACUAGAGUGCGGUAGGGGAGACUGGAAUUCCUGGUGUAGCGGUGAAAUGCGCAGAUAUCAGGAGGAACACCGGUGGCGAAGGCGGAUCUCUGGGCCUUACCUGACGCUGAGGAGCGAAAGCAUGGGGAGCAAACAGG
This 253-nucleotide ribosomal RNA is filed under the name uncultured bacterium. Its description in RNAcentral is "partial 16S ribosomal RNA". It matches the Rfam family "Bacterial small subunit ribosomal RNA", at positions 524 to 776 of the family's 1533-position model. The record is from RNAcentral.